Molecule: long non-coding RNA, 361 nt
Organism: Hipposideros armiger (great roundleaf bat)
Lineage: Eukaryota; Metazoa; Chordata; Mammalia; Chiroptera; Hipposideridae
Exons: 3
Source: RefSeq, a predicted model, not a curated record
CUGUUCCCCUUCCCCAAUUCCCCAAGAAAAUCUUAAAAAAUAUAAUAAUAAUAAUAAAGUGGCAACCUAAUGUAAGAGCUACCUUGUCGAGGAUUCUGGGAAGUGUAGUCCUAGAGCACCAGGUAGUAAGCCACUUUCGCUCUCAAAGGGUGGAGCUGUAGCCCUUGUUUUCUCUGGGAUUCUGGGAAGUGUGGUUCAGAAGGGGUGUAUAGUCCAGGCACUUCAGCUACAGGAGAGCGACUCAGUUGCUGGGGUCAAGACUUUCUAGGAGGUCUGUCUUCACAUGACUCUGGCCUUCCCCAGACAAAAGAGGAGAAAAUGACCAAGUGCCAGCAUGAAAGCUCUCCCAAUGAAAGGCACC